Molecule: ribosomal RNA, 239 nt
Filed under: uncultured Actinomycetales bacterium
Lineage: Bacteria; Bacillati; Actinomycetota; Actinomycetes; Actinomycetales
Description: partial 16S ribosomal RNA
Rfam family: Bacterial small subunit ribosomal RNA
Source: RNAcentral
CGAGUGGCGAACGGGUGAGUAACACGUGGGUGAUCUGCCCUGCACUCUGGGAUAGGCCUGGGAAACUGGGUCUAAUACCGGAUAGGACCAUGCUUUAGUGUGUGUGGUGGAAAGUUUUUUCGGUGUAGGAUGAGCCCGCGGCCUAUCAGCUUGUUGGUGGGGUAAUGGCCUACCAAGGCGGCGACGGGUAGUCGGACUGAGAGGUUGGUCGGCCACAUUGUGACUGAGAUACGGCCCAG